UAGGGAAUUUUCGUCAAUGGGCGCAAGCCUGAACGAGCAAUGCCGCGUGAACGAGGAAGGUCUUCGGAUCGUAAAGUUCUGUUGAAGGGGAAAAAGAGCGGAGAGAGGAAAAUGGUCUCCGAUUGAUAUUACCCUUCGAGGAAGUCACGGCUAACUACGUGCC
Molecule: ribosomal RNA, 163 nt
Filed under: uncultured bacterium
Lineage: Bacteria
Description: partial 16S ribosomal RNA
Rfam family: Bacterial small subunit ribosomal RNA
Source: RNAcentral